Molecule: ribosomal RNA, 495 nt
Filed under: uncultured bacterium
Lineage: Bacteria
Description: partial 16S ribosomal RNA
Rfam family: Bacterial small subunit ribosomal RNA
Source: RNAcentral
GAUGAACGCUGGCGGCGUGCCUAAUACAUGCAAGUAGAACGCUGAAGGAGGAGCUUGCUCUUCUGGAUGAGUUGCGAACGGGUGAGUAACGCGUAGGUAACCUGCCUGGUAGCGGGGGAUAACUAUUGGAAACGAUAGCUAAUACCGCAUGACAACAGUUAUUGCAUGAUAACUGUUUAAAAUGGGCACCUGCUCCACUACCAGAUGGACCUGCGUUGUAUUAGCUAGUUGGUGAGGUAACGGCUCACCAAGGCGACGAUACAUAGCCGACCUGAGAGGGUGAUCGGCCACACUGGGACUGAGACACGGCCCAGACUCCUACGGGAGGCAGCAGUAGGGAAUCUUCGGCAAUGGACGGAAGUCUGACCGAGCAACGCCGCGUGAGUGAAGAAGGUUUUCGGAUCGUAAAGCUCUGUUGUAAGAGAAGAACGAGUGUGAGAGUGGAAAGUUCACACUGUGACGGUAUCUUACCAGAAAGGGACGGCUAACUACGUG